Molecule: ribosomal RNA, 1265 nt
Filed under: Cylindrospermopsis raciborskii CHAB1336
Lineage: Bacteria; Bacillati; Cyanobacteriota; Cyanophyceae; Nostocales; Aphanizomenonaceae
Description: bacterial SSU rRNA
Rfam family: Bacterial small subunit ribosomal RNA
Source: RNAcentral
GUGAGUAACGCGUGAGAAUCUGGCUCCAGGUCGGGGAUAACAGUUGGAAACGACUGCUAAUACCGGAUGUGCCGAGAGGUGAAAGAUUUAUUGCCUGGAGAUGAGCUCGCGUCUGAUUAGCUAGUUGGUGGUGUAAGGGACCACCAAGGCGUCGAUCAGUAGCUGGUCUGAGAGGAUGAUCAGCCACACUGGGACUGAGACACGGCCCAGACUCCUACGGGAGGCAGCAGUGGGGAAUUUUCCGCAAUGGGCGAAAGCCUGACGGAGCAAUACCGCGUGAGGGAGGAAGGCUCUUGGGUCGUAAACCUCUUUUCUCAAGGAAGAAGAAAGUGACGGUACUUGAGGAAUAAGCAUCGGCUAACUCCGUGCCAGCAGCCGCGGUAAUACGGAGGAUGCAAGCGUUAUCCGGAAUGAUUGGGCGUAAAGGGUCUGCAGGUGGAACUGAAAGUCUGCUGUUAAAGAGUUUGGCUUAACCAAAUAAAAGCGGUGGAAACUACAGAACUAGAGUGCGGUAGGGGCAAAAGGAAUUCCUGGUGUAGCGGUGAAAUGCGUAGAUAUCAGGAAGAACACCGGUGGCGAAAGCGUUUUGCUAGACCAUAACUGACACUGAGGGACGAAAGCUAGGGGAGCGAAUGGGAUUAGAUACCCCAGUAGUCCUAGCCGUAAACGAUGGAUACUAGGCGUGGCUUGUAUCGACCCGAGCCGUGCCGGAGCUAACGCGUUAAGUAUCCCGCCUGGGGAGUACGCACGCAAGUGUGAAACUCAAAGGAAUUGACGGGGGCCCGCACAAGCGGUGGAGUAUUGGUUUAAUUCGAUGCAACGCGAAGAACCUUACCAAGACUUGACAUCCUGCGAAUCCUGGUGAAAGCUGGGAGUGCCUUAGGGAGCGCAGAGACAGGUGGUGCAUGGCUGUCGUCAGCUCGUGUCGUGAGAUGUUGGGUUAAGUCCCGCAACGAGCGCAACCCUCGUUUUUAGUUGCCAGCAUUAAGUUGGGCACUCUAGAGAGACUGCCGGUGACAAACCGGAGGAAGGUGAGGAUGACGUCAAGUCAGCAUGCCCCUUACGUCUUGGGCUACACACGUACUACAAUGCUACGGACAGAGGGCAGCAAGCCAGGGAUGGCAAGCGAAUCCAGAAACCGUAGCUCAGUUCAGAUCGAAGGCUGCAACUCGCCUUCGUGAAGGAGGAAUCGCUAGUAAUUGCAGGUCAGCAUACUGCAGUGAAUUCGUUCCCGGGCCUUGUACACACCGCCCGUCACACCAUGG